RNAcentral lists this ribosomal RNA (189 nucleotides) under uncultured bacterium. RNAcentral's name for it is "partial 16S ribosomal RNA". It matches the Rfam family "Bacterial small subunit ribosomal RNA", at positions 338 to 524 of the family's 1533-position model. The record is from RNAcentral.
UUUACGGGAGGCAGCAGUGAGGAAUAUUGGACAAUGGAGGAGACUCUGAUCCAGCCAUGCCGCGUGUAGGAAGAAUGCCCUAUGGGUUGUAAACUACUUUUAUACAGGAAGAAACACUGGUAUGUAUACCAGCUUGACGGUACUGUAGGAAUAAGGACCGGCUAACUCCGUGCCAGCAGCCGCGGUAAU